RNAcentral lists this ribosomal RNA (548 nucleotides) under uncultured bacterium. RNAcentral's name for it is "partial 16S ribosomal RNA". It matches the Rfam family "Bacterial small subunit ribosomal RNA", at positions 355 to 896 of the family's 1533-position model. The record is from RNAcentral.
UGGGGAAUUUUGGACAAUGGGCGCAAGCCUGAUCCAGCCAUGUCGCGUGCGGGAAGAAGGCCUCGGGUUGUAAACCGCUUUUGUCAGGGAAGAAAUCUUCUGAGUUAAUACCUCGGGAGGAUGACGGUACCUGAAGAAUAAGCACCGGCUAACUACGUGCCAGCAGCCGCGGUAAUACGUAGGGUGCAAGCGUUAAUCGGAAUUACUGGGCGUAAAGCGUGCGCAGGCGGUUUUGUAAGACAGAGGUGAAAUCCCCGGGCUCAACCUGGGAACUGCCUUUGUGACUGCAAGGCUUGAGUGCGGCAGAGGGGGGAUGGAAUUCCGCGUGUAGCAGUGAAAUGCGUAGAUAUGCGGAGGAACACCGAUGGCGAAGGCAAUCCCCUGGGCCUGCACUGACGCUCAUGCACGAAAGCGUGGGGAGCAAACAGGAUUAGAUACCCUGGUAGUCCACGCCCUAAACGAUGUCAACUGGUUGUUGGGAAGGUUCCUUCUCAGUAACGUAGCUAACGCGUGAAGUUGACCGCCUGGGGAGUACGGCCGCAAGGUUG